Molecule: ribosomal RNA, 1059 nt
Filed under: Ideoblothrus bipectinatus
Lineage: Eukaryota; Metazoa; Arthropoda; Arachnida; Pseudoscorpiones; Syarinidae
Description: LSU rRNA
Rfam family: Eukaryotic large subunit ribosomal RNA
Source: RNAcentral
GCGAACGGGGAACAGCUCACGGCCGAAUCCGCCACCGAGGGGUGGCGGAAAUGUGGCGUAUGGGAGGCGGAGUCCUCCGAGCGCGACCGACGGUACAAGUCCCCAUGAGAGGGGCAUGUUACCCGUAGACGGUGCUAGGCCCGUGCCGCCGUCGGCCCGCGCGCGGAGUUGCCGUCUUCCCGGGAGUCGGGUUGCUUGGGAGUGCAGCCCAAAGUGGGUGGUAAACUCCACCUAAGGCUAAAUACGACCGGGAGACCGAUAGCGAACAAGUACCGUGAGGGAAAGUUGAAAAGCACUUUGAAGAGAGAGUUCAAGAGUACGUGAAACCGUUUGGAGGUAAACGGGUGGGACCUCGAAGUCCGAAGGCGGUGGUGGAUUCAGCCUGGAYGGGAGCGGGUCUCCGAUCUAGGGGGAGUGCCUCGUGACCGAGGCUUCUUCUAGGUUCGGCUGGCCACGUCCCGGCGCACUUCCACGCCCCGUCCGUUAGGACGUCGCGACCGGUUGGGARGCCGUCGUAAGGCCGUGGUCGAAAGGUGGCGGCACGCUUCUCUCGAGAGGCGUUCCGUGUUACAGGCGGCCGGCGUGCCUGGGAGGCUGCCCGACCGUGGUGCUGGUUUGUUCCCCUCCUAGACAGGGAGCGACCURGGUCCUUUGGAUUCUCUCGGGUUCGGUGACACCAGCGAUGGUGAGCAGGACCGCGGGUUUCCGAGGAGGCUUGGGGUUYGCGGGGAAUGGAAGGUCGCGGCGAGUAGGUCGGUUACCCACCCGACCCGUCUUGAAACACGGACCAAGGAGUCUAACGCGUGUGCGAGUUCCCGGGACUUGAACAGGCCCGAGGGCGCAAUGAAGGUGAAGGGCAAUGUUAGUUGCCUGGGUUGGGAUCCCGUCCUCUUUUUUAAGCGGGGCGGGCGCACCAACGGCCCGUCCGAAACCGUUCUCGGUUGGGCGGAGCGAGAGCAUACGCUCUGGGACCCGAAAGAUGGUGAACUAUGCCUGGGCAGGACGAAGCCAGAGGAAACUCUGGUGGAGGUCCGCAGCGAUUCUGACGUGCAAAUCGAU